GUCGCGAUGCCAGAGUGGUUAAUGGGUUAGACUUGAAUUCAAUAGAAAAUUCGGCCAUCUAAUGGCUUCGGCCGCGUAGGUUCAAAUCCUGCUCGCGACG
RNAcentral lists this transfer RNA (100 nucleotides) under Erysiphe necator (grape powdery mildew). It matches the Rfam family "tRNA". Rfam says of the family: Transfer RNA (tRNA) molecules are approximately 80 nucleotides in length. Their secondary structure includes four short double-helical elements and three loops (D, anti-codon, and T loops). The record is from Rfam by way of RNAcentral. Lineage: Eukaryota; Fungi; Ascomycota; Leotiomycetes; Helotiales; Erysiphaceae.